This is a long non-coding RNA of Phodopus roborovskii (desert hamster), 597 nucleotides long. RefSeq lists it as uncharacterized. Lineage: Eukaryota; Metazoa; Chordata; Mammalia; Rodentia; Cricetidae. The record is from RefSeq and is a predicted model, not a curated record. The transcript has 3 exons.
GUGAUGUUGGUUCCUAGGAAGAAUACAGAACAGUCAAUUCCACGAGUAGUAGUGCUCUUACUUGGACAAAGAAAUUCAGCCUGGAUUAUUUGGCCCUGGACUUCAAUUCAGCAUCUCCAGCCCCUGUGCAGCAGAAACUUCUUUCAGAAGAGCAGAGAGUAGACUAUGUCCAAGUGGAUGAGCAGAAGACACAAGCUCUCCAGAGUACCAAGCAGGAGUGGACCGAUGAGAGGCAAUCCAAAGUGUGAGAGUGCAGGAUGGGGAAUAGGAGGCCUUCAGCCUGCAAGUUGGGAAAGCCGCAAACCCAGGACCGGUGAGGAGUUAAGCUUUUCUUAGGGAAGAAGAAGGUCUGAGAAACACACAGCCUGCCUAUAAAGGCACAAAAAUAGAGUUGGAAUCAGUUGAAUCAUCAUGGCCUGCAGUUCAGUGUCCAAACUUAAGAAGCCCCACAAACAUUCCUCUUUUUAAUGAUCUCCUUAACUGCCCACCCCUGCCCUGUUCAUAGUAUCUCUGUACAUACAAUUGCACUGAUUUUUCAAUUUUAUUUCACUUUUAUUAUUUCAUUUCUGGCAUUAAUAAAAGUUUUAUAAGGAGGAA